RNAcentral lists this ribosomal RNA (252 nucleotides) under uncultured bacterium. RNAcentral's name for it is "partial 16S ribosomal RNA". It matches the Rfam family "Bacterial small subunit ribosomal RNA", at positions 524 to 776 of the family's 1533-position model. The record is from RNAcentral.
UACGGGGGGGUAAGCGUUGUUCGGAAUUACUGGGCGUAAAGGGCUCGUAGGCGGCCAACUAAGUCGGACGUGAAAUCCCUCAGCUUAACUGGGGAACUGCGUCCGAUACUGGAUGGCUUGGAUUUGGGAGAGGGAUGCGGAAUUCCAGGUGUAGCGGUGAAAUGCGUAGAUAUCAGGAGGAACACCUAUAGCGAAGGCAGCUUGCUGGGACGUUACUGACGCUAAGGCGCGAAAGCGUGGGGAGCGAACAGG